This is a non-coding RNA of Coffea arabica (coffee), 675 nucleotides long. Lineage: Eukaryota; Viridiplantae; Streptophyta; Magnoliopsida; Gentianales; Rubiaceae. The record is from RefSeq and is a predicted model, not a curated record.
AAAAAAUUCCUUGCCCCAGCUUAUUGGAUGUUUUUGAACAGCUAUCAUCACCAGGACUUUUUGAUGAAGAUUUGCCUUCAUGAAGAUUCUCGAGUGGUGCUAUGCUCAGAGCUCAUGGGAGACCUUAAUGGCUCAAUUACUGUCGUGCCUAUCAAUAUCCCAUUAUUCCUUCUUCAAGCACAUCAUUUUCAAACUGAUGACAAACAUAUAGAAUGGCACUCUCUUUCGCUUCUAAGUGACUGAGAUGGCCAAAGCUGGAGAUCUACAUUGUGAAUGCGAUGCCUUCAACCUGUUGGUCAUGACAUGAGGUAGUAAUUCAUCAAUUAUGGACCUCAUUUGCUAUUCUGUCUCAUACUGCUUGCCUCUCAAAUUAGCUGCAAUUUAGUUGCAGAAAAUUGUCAGUCUGUCUUAUGACUGCUUAUUGUCUGUUAGUUGGCCUCUGCAAGCUACUUCCCACCCUUCUUGAAGUUGUAUCUUAGCUCCAUUACAUAGAACAUGAUUUUAUGAGAGUGCCUGUUCUCCAUUUGCAGUUAAAAAUCGUAUGUCUAGAAUGAUGCUCUUACUUCAAGAUUCAUAGUUAUUCCAAAAUUAUUGGGUCUAUAUGAUGUUGAGUAAAUCUUAUGUUGGUAGUCACUUGACCAAAAAUGAAGAAUAGCAUGAUGUUGUCCUUUUCAA